Molecule: long non-coding RNA, 546 nt
Filed under: Homo sapiens (human)
Lineage: Eukaryota; Metazoa; Chordata; Mammalia; Primates; Hominidae
Description: novel transcript
Source: RNAcentral
GCUGCAGCAGAAGAGCGGAAAUGUCAAACGUGGAGGGCUGUGCCUGGCUGCUCCUGAGAAAACUGGAAGAUGGUGUGCCAUGUCAGAUCACGAGGCCACGAAGUGCACCAGUUUCCGAGACAAUAUGAAAAAAGUGUUUCCAGCAGAUGGUCCCCUUGUCACCUGCGUGGAGAGAGCGUCUUCCCUUGAGUACAUUAAAGCCAUCACAGUCCUCAGGAUGAGUUCACAUGACCCUCUUCCUCCACAAAGUCCUCCCCUGUCAUCCCAUGGCAUGUGAUCCUGCCCUCCUGACAACUCUGCCAACGCUCUCUCCUUAGCACUGGGGGACUCAGAGAUGAACUUGGCAAAGACUUGUCUUGAGUCAUUCACAGAUGAGUGUGGGAGGCACACGAGUAUGGAUUCUUACCUGAUGGAAUUGGACUACCUCAUGGACAUGGAUGGCGUCCUUUAUGGAGGACAAAGGGACUGAUUUGCAGGAUGUAUCUGGGAAAGUUCCUGGGCCCUGGGGAGUAACUGUGUGCAUCCUAAGGAGGUGGGGGGUGGGGG